RNAcentral lists this ribosomal RNA (460 nucleotides) under uncultured bacterium. Its description in RNAcentral is "partial 16S ribosomal RNA". It matches the Rfam family "Bacterial small subunit ribosomal RNA", at positions 338 to 795 of the family's 1533-position model. The record is from RNAcentral.
CCUACGUGUGGCUGCAGUGAGGAAUAUUGGUCAAUGGACGAAAGUCUGAACCAGCAAAGUCGCGUGAAGGAUGACUGCCCUAUGGGUUGUAAACUUCUUUUAUAUGGGAAUAAAACAGGGUAUGCAUCCCCUCUUGUCUGUCCCAUAUGAUUCAGGAUCGGCAAACUACGGGCCAGCCGCCGCGGUAAUACGGAGGAUCCGAGCGUUAUCCGGAUUUAUUGGGUGUAAAGGGAGCGUAGGUGGAUUGGUAAGUCAGUUGUGAAAGUUUGCGGCGUAACCGUAAAAUUGCAGGUGAAACUGGGAGGCUUGAGUACAGUAGAGGUGGGCGGAAUUCGUGGUGUAGCGGUGAAAUGCUUAGAUAUCACGAAGAACUCCGAUGGCGAAGGCAGCUCACUGGACUGCAACUGACACUGAUGCUCGAAAGUGUGGGUAGCAAACAGGAUUAGAUACCCUUGUAGUC